CGCCGCCAGCACACCACCAAGUGGCACCGAGCAGUGAUAACAAACUCAACUUAAAAAAAAGAAAAGGAAAAGGAAAAAACUUCCCCAAGUUGCAGCCCAAGAUGUGCGGACGUGCGGGCAGAGGCGCAGGGCGGGGAGUGUGGGUGGCCCGCAAGCCCCCCGGCUGCUCUCCCCAGCCGAAGAGAGCUCAGACGUGAGGCCGACCAGGCCCUGCGCCCCUGGCAGGUUGACCUGAAAACAAGGCACCGCCAUCCUCUAUAAUCGACUUUUUAUUAAGAUUAUAAAUUUAAACAAAUCUGAACAGUUUUACCCGGUGAUAUACAAUUCAGUAUGCACAAAAAUACAGGGGAAUGAGGGAGAAGGGCCAAGAAAGGAAGGGUUGGCAACUUGUUUUGGAGUCCACAUGGUGCCGAUGAUAGAGAACCAGAGGGGCUGCAGACCAACCCCACCUUUUUACAACAAAAGGCUUUAAAUUAAACAAGAUCUAUCGAGCUGAAGACACAGGACGGGGUUGUCACAGGCUCGAACAAUGCUGGUUUCAUGAAAUGCAACCGAAGGCUGAACCAGGGCAGUGCAACUUAGAAGCACACACACAAACACCACAUCUGACCAGGAACUUAGUGAAAAGUCUCCAACGCAGUCGGCGGUCCCGGCCCCUCCCUCCCUCGGGGCCGCCGGAGAUCCAGGAUUUCACAAGACCCAUUCCUCACCCCACGGAGGAACUUGGGAGAACGGAGCGCCGGGCUUCCUAGGUCUGACAACUGAUUGGAAUCGGAGCCCCGGGCCCCGCGCCCUCCUGCGCUGCGCCCCCAGCGCGCCCCGGCGGUCCGGGCGCCCUGCCUCGCCCCCGGCUGCCCGGCACCUCCGCCGGGCAGCAGCCCUUCCUCACGUGGCUGGCUCCUCUCUAAACACCACUGCAAUCACUACAAUAAAAAGAAAAAAAAAAGAGUAGGAGAAACACAAA
Molecule: long non-coding RNA, 964 nt
Organism: Orcinus orca (killer whale)
Lineage: Eukaryota; Metazoa; Chordata; Mammalia; Artiodactyla; Delphinidae
Exons: 3
Source: RefSeq, a predicted model, not a curated record